CCCAGUCACUACUUGUUUUCUAGCUGGACCUAUCCACCUCUACAUCUGAAUGGACUAUACUCACACAUUCAUAACAAUUAAAAUUGAGCUUGCUUUUAAAUAAAACCAGAAUCUAAUGCGCAAUUCUAGUUCAACAAUUAAUUACAUAAUUUGCAAGAUAAACAAAGCAUACAUCUAUAACAUAAUUUAUAAAAGAAACCUUUUACAACUGAACCAAACUUUUCAGGCUUAUGGCCCAGGCCUAAUGGCCUAAGCCCAGAUUCAUUCGGAGGUAGUUUUUCCAUCUAGGCUUACUUACAACUUCAGCCCAUUUGAAUUAGAGGAUAGCCUUAGAGCUUAGGCUCAUAGCCUGGCCCGUUCCACUAUGCUUAUGAUAAUGUAAUGACAAAAAUGAAUAUACUCCUAAAGCAGUUGUUCUGAUCCUUAAUACAUGACAUUAGAACCUAAUUCAUUACAACACUCCAAAUAAAAAAAGAAAAGUUUUCCAGAAAUCUAAAGCAUGUCACAUUAGAACCUACUGGUACAUGAACUACUAUGUUAACAAACUACUCUAUUACAACUUUGGUAACCUAACGAAUCCCUGCCUCUUUUUUAGACAUGAUUCGUCCAUCACAAGCUGGUCUUCCUCACGAAAAAGCAUCAGAUUCAGCAUACCGCAUAGUAGGAUUCCAACUUUCAGCUUCUGAGCCUGCUGGUUUGGCCAACUAGUGACCAAAUCUGCAGGAAACAGCUCAUGGUCAAUGGACAGAACCAAAUAAUCUUAAGUAAAUAGCAGACCAUCCACUCAGAUAGAAGAAAGAUGAGAAGACAUGACUAAAUUUCAUGGUCAGCAUUAACAAACAAAAUGUUUGGCUAAGGACACAUCAGUGUUUGGAAAAGCGAUCGCUUUAAGCGCGAAGCGACAAGGCAUCGCUUUCCCAGAGAGAGGCGACUC
This 934-nucleotide long non-coding RNA is filed under the name Nicotiana benthamiana. RNAcentral's name for it is "long non-coding RNA (NBEN_LNC002858)". The record is from RNAcentral. Lineage: Eukaryota; Viridiplantae; Streptophyta; Magnoliopsida; Solanales; Solanaceae.